GGUAAUACGUAGGUGGCAAGCGUUGUCCGGAAUUAUUGGGCGUAAAGGGCUCGCAGGCGGUUUCUUAAGUCUGAUGUGAAAGCCCCCGGCUCAACCGGGGAGGGUCAUUGGAAACUGGGGAACUUGAGUGCAGAAGAGGAGAGUGGAAUUCCACGUGUAGCGGUGAAAUGCGUAGAGAUGUGGAGGAACACCAGUGGCGAAGGCGACUCUCUGGUCUGUAACUGACGCUGAGGAGCGAAAGCGUGGGGAGCGAACAGGAUUAGAUACCCUGGUAGUCCACGCCGUAAACGAUGAGUGCUAAGUGUUAGGGGGUUUCCGCCCCUUAGUGCUGCAGCUAACGCAUUAAGCACUCCGCCUGGGGAGUACGGUCGCAAGACUGAAACUCAAAGGAAUUGACGGGGGCCCGCACAAGCGGUGGAGCAUGUGGUUUAAUUCGAAGCAACGCGAAGAACCUUACCAGGUCUUGACAUCCUCUGACAAUCCUAGAGAUAGGACGUCCCCUUCGGGGGCAGAGUGACAGGUGGUGCAUGGUUGUCGUCAGCUCGUGUCGUGAGAUGUUGGGUUAAGUCCCGCAACGAGCGCAACCCUUGAUCUUAGUUGCCAGCAUUCAGUUGGGCACUCUAAGGUGACUGCCGGUGACAAACCGGAGGAAGGUGGGGAUGACGUCAAAUCAUCAUGCCCCUUAUGACCUGGGCUACACACGUGCUACAAUGGACAGAACAAAGGGCAGCGAAACCGCGAGGUUAAGCCAAUCCCACAAAUCUGUUCUCAGUUCGGAUCGCAGUCUGCAACUCGACUGCGUGAAGCUGGAAUCGCUAG
RNAcentral lists this ribosomal RNA (819 nucleotides) under bacterium. RNAcentral's name for it is "bacterial SSU rRNA". It matches the Rfam family "Bacterial small subunit ribosomal RNA", at positions 519 to 1338 of the family's 1533-position model. The record is from RNAcentral.